CAGCCGUAAACAAUGUGCGUUAGGUGUGUCGGUAACCACGUGUUACUGAUGCGCCGAAGAGAAAUCGUGAAACGCACCACCUGGGAAGUACGGUCGCAAGGCUGAAACUUAAAGGAAUUGGCGGGGGAGCACCACAACAGGUGGAGCCUGCGGUUUAAUUGGAUUCAACGCCGGAAAUCUCACCGGAUAGGACAGACAUAUGAUAGUCGGGCUGAAGACUCUACUUGAUGAUCUGAGAGGUGGUGCAUGGC
RNAcentral lists this ribosomal RNA (251 nucleotides) under uncultured archaeon. Its description in RNAcentral is "partial 16S ribosomal RNA". It matches the Rfam family "Archaeal small subunit ribosomal RNA", at positions 748 to 998 of the family's 1478-position model. The record is from RNAcentral.